GAUGAAGAACGCAGCGAAAUGCGAUACGUAAUGUGAAUUGCAAAUUCAGUGAAUCAUCGAGUCUUUGAACGCACAUUGCGCCCCCUGGUAUUCCGGGGGGCAUGCCUGUCCGAGCGUCAUUGCUGCCCUCAAGCACGGCUUGUGUGUUGGGCCCCGUCCUCCGAUCCCGGGGGACGGGCCCGAAAGGCAGCGGCGGCACCGCGUCCGGUCCUCGAGCGUAUGGGGCUUUGUCACCCGCUCUGUAGGCCCGGCCGGCGCUUGCCGAUCAACCCAAAUUUUUAUCCAGGUUGACCUCGGAUCAGGUAGGGAUACCCGCUGAACUUAAGCAUGUCAAUAAGCGGAGGA
RNAcentral lists this unclassified non-coding RNA (345 nucleotides) under soil metagenome. RNAcentral's name for it is "partial contains 5.8S ribosomal RNA, internal transcribed spacer 2, and large subunit ribosomal RNA". The stretch from base 1 to 119 matches the Rfam family "5.8S ribosomal RNA", at positions 35 to 154 of the family's 154-position model. The record is from RNAcentral.